UCAGAGACGAGACUGUCAACCACGUAUCUCAGUGUCCAGUCAUCCAGUGGUCUUCCCACCACAUCAGAGAUGGGGCCUCACUCUGUCACCCAAGCUGGAGUGCAGUGAUUCAAUCACAGCUCCCUGUAGCCCCAAACUUCUGGCUCAAGUGAUUAUCCCACCUAACCUCUCAGAUAGUGGGGGCUACAGACAAGUACCACUAUGCCCAGAUUAAAUUCAGUUCCACAUGGCUGGAGAGGCCUUGGGAAACACAGUCGUGGUGGAAGGGGAGCAG
This 274-nucleotide long non-coding RNA is filed under the name Homo sapiens (human). RNAcentral describes it as "HSALNT0379616". Lineage: Eukaryota; Metazoa; Chordata; Mammalia; Primates; Hominidae. The record is from RNAcentral.